RNAcentral lists this ribosomal RNA (536 nucleotides) under Anoxybacillus flavithermus AK1. RNAcentral's name for it is "bacterial SSU rRNA". It matches the Rfam family "Bacterial small subunit ribosomal RNA", at positions 1 to 520 of the family's 1533-position model. The record is from RNAcentral. Lineage: Bacteria; Bacillati; Bacillota; Bacilli; Caryophanales; Anoxybacillaceae.
UAUGGAGAGUUUGAUCCUGGCUCAGGACGAACGCUGGCGGCGUGCCUAAUACAUGCAAGUCGAGCGGGCGAUUCAAAAGCUUGCUUUUGAAUCGUUAGCGGCGGACGGGUGAGUAACACGUGGGCAACCUGCCCUGUAGACGGGGAUAACACCGAGAAAUCGGUGCUAAUACCGGAUAACACGAAAUGUCGCAUGACGUUUCGUUGAAAGGCGGCGCAAGCUGCCGCUACAGGAUGGGCCCGCGGCGCAUUAGCUAGUUGGUGAGGUAACGGCUCACCAAGGCGACGAUGCGUAGCCGACCUGAGAGGGUGAUCGGCCACACUGGGACUGAGACACGGCCCAGACUCCUACGGGAGGCAGCAGUAGGGAAUCUUCCGCAAUGGACGAAAGUCUGACGGAGCAACGCCGCGUGAGCGAAGAAGGCCUUCGGGUCGUAAAGCUCUGUUGUUAGGGAAGAACAAGUAACGUAGUAACUGGCGUUACUGUGACGGUACCUAACGAGAAAGCCACGGCUAACUACGUGCCAGCAGCCGCGG